Molecule: ribosomal RNA, 450 nt
Filed under: uncultured bacterium
Lineage: Bacteria
Description: bacterial SSU rRNA
Rfam family: Bacterial small subunit ribosomal RNA
Source: RNAcentral
AACGAACGCUGGCGGCAGGCUUAACACAUGCAAGUCGAGCGCCCCGCAAGGGGAGCGGCAGACGGGUGAGUAACGCGUGGGAAUCUACCGUGCCCUAAGGAAUAGCUCCGGGAAACUGGAAUUAAUACCUUAUACGCCCUUCGGGGGAAAGAUUUAUCGGGGUAUGAUGAGCCCGCGUUGGAUUAGCUAGUUGGUGGGGUAAAGGCCUACCAAGGCGACGAUCCAUAGCUGGUCUGAGAGGAUGAUCAGCCACAUUGGGACUGAGACACGGCCCAAACUCCUACGGGAGGCAGCAGUGGGGAAUAUUGGACAAUGGGCGCAAGCCUGAUCCAGCCAUGCCGCGUGAGUGAUGAAGGCCCUAGGGUUGUAAAGCUCUUUCACCGGUGAAGAUAAUGACGGUAACCGGAGAAGAAGCCCCGGCUAACUUCGUGCCAGCCGCCGCCGUAACAC